This 258-nucleotide ribosomal RNA is filed under the name uncultured Leptotrichia sp. RNAcentral describes it as "partial 16S ribosomal RNA". It matches the Rfam family "Bacterial small subunit ribosomal RNA", at positions 97 to 355 of the family's 1533-position model. The record is from RNAcentral. Lineage: Bacteria; Fusobacteriati; Fusobacteriota; Fusobacteriia; Fusobacteriales; Leptotrichiaceae.
GGCGGACGGGUGAGUAACGCGUAAAGAACUUGCCCUUUAGACUGGGAUAACAGAGGGAAACUUCUGAUAAUACUGGAUAAGUUAGUAUAUCGCAUGAUAUGCAAAUGAAAGCUACGGCACUAAAGGAGAGCUUUGCGUCCUAUUAGCUAGUUGGUAAGGUAAGAGCUUACCAAGGCGAUGAUAGGUAGCCGGCCUGAGAGGGUGGACGGCCACAAGGGGACUGAGAUACGGCCCUUACUCCUACGGGAGGCAGCAGUC